Oryza glaberrima (African rice) is the source of this 208-nucleotide non-coding RNA. Lineage: Eukaryota; Viridiplantae; Streptophyta; Magnoliopsida; Poales; Poaceae. The record is from Rfam.
AAUAAAUGCAGCCGUGAAUAUCCGUACCCAACAUUUGAUUGCCCGUUUUAUUUAAAAAAAUUAUGAAAAAUUUAAAAAUAUUUAGUCACACAUAAAGUACUAUUCAUGUUUUAUCAUCUAAUAGCAAUAAAAAUACUAAUCAUAAAAAAUUUUCAAAUAAGACGAACGGUCAAACGUUAAACGUGAAUAGUGCAAAACUGUACUUAUU